AGCUCCAAUAGCGUAUAUUAAAAUUGUUGCGGUUAAAACGCUCGUAGUUGGAUAUCUGCCAAGGGGUUUCGGUCCUUCCCAGUGAAGAAUACGCGAGGCUUCUCUUGGCAUUUAUUUGGAGAUUAUGGUUGUACUUUGUUGUGUAUCAUGAAAUCUGAAUUUUUACUUUGAGGAAAUAAGAGUGUUUCAAGCAGGCUUUUGCCGUGAAUAUGAUAGCAUGGAAUAAUAGCACAGGACCCCUUUCCAAAGCUGUUGGUUUUUGGGACGAGGUAAUCACAAUAAGGAUAGUUGGGGGUAUUCGUAUUUAACUGUCAGAGGUGAAAUUCUUGGAUUUUUUAAAGACGAACUAUUGCGAAGGCAUCUGCCCAGGAUGUUUUUA
Molecule: ribosomal RNA, 379 nt
Filed under: uncultured eukaryote
Lineage: Eukaryota
Description: SSU rRNA
Rfam family: Eukaryotic small subunit ribosomal RNA
Source: RNAcentral